RNAcentral lists this long non-coding RNA (241 nucleotides) under Mytilus galloprovincialis (Mediterranean mussel). The record is from RNAcentral. Lineage: Eukaryota; Metazoa; Mollusca; Bivalvia; Mytilida; Mytilidae.
UUAGAAUGAAAUUCAAAACAGUGUGGCUGUGGCCAUUGAUUGACACAUUAAAUUCAUCCAUUGACUGGGACAAUUUACGUGAACGUUUGUCUGUAACGACCACUGUUCACGACGUACCAACUAUAGACAUUUAAACUGUGGGGUCACCAAAGGUUUCUUAACGCCUUUAAUUAUAAAAUAAUUUGAAAAAUUAAUCAGGAAUAACCUUUAUGUUUUGAUUUAUAUAAUUGAUAUAAAUCAA